GAAAGAUAUUUGUUUUACAAAAUAAUUGUUGAAAUGAAAGAAUCAGGGUUUCCUUGUGUUGGGUUCUUUAAGUUUGUUUAAAAAGAAUAUAAUUUUAUUGAUUUUAUUCAGUAUAUUUUGUAAUAAAUCGUAAUCACAAAUAUUUUUAUUUUAAAAUAUGGAUCGAUCAAAUGUUACUCCUCAUUUUUCUCCUUUGCGAAUGACAAAAAAAAGAAAAAAAAAAAAAGAGGUUGACUUUUUAAAGUAAACUUGGCAUUAAGAGUGGGAUGCCUAUGCCAGAGUUUCUUCGAUCUUGCCUGAUCGUUAGUGGAGACAUACCUGAUUUUCUUAAUUUUGAU
Molecule: long non-coding RNA, 338 nt
Filed under: Prunus persica (peach)
Lineage: Eukaryota; Viridiplantae; Streptophyta; Magnoliopsida; Rosales; Rosaceae
Description: long non-coding RNA (PPER_LNC005680)
Source: RNAcentral